RNAcentral lists this transfer RNA (77 nucleotides) under Verrucomicrobiota bacterium. RNAcentral describes it as "Verrucomicrobia bacterium (fermentation metagenome) tRNA-Val". It matches the Rfam family "tRNA". Rfam says of the family: Transfer RNA (tRNA) molecules are approximately 80 nucleotides in length. Their secondary structure includes four short double-helical elements and three loops (D, anti-codon, and T loops). The record is from RNAcentral. Lineage: Bacteria; Pseudomonadati; Verrucomicrobiota.
GGGGAGUUAGCUUAGUUGGCUAAAGCGUCUGGUUUACACCCAGAAGAUCACAGGUUCGAGUCCUGUACUCCCCACCA